RNAcentral lists this small RNA (840 nucleotides) under Pongo abelii (Sumatran orangutan). RNAcentral describes it as "retained intron". Lineage: Eukaryota; Metazoa; Chordata; Mammalia; Primates; Hominidae. The record is from RNAcentral.
GGGUGAGGUAGGACCGGCGGAGAGGCCGGCACCGCCCCAGGACCCUGUCCGCAGGAGCAGCACAGCAGGCAGCUGCAGGAGCAGUGGGAGGAGCUGUCGAGUCAGCUCUUCUACUACGGAGGGGAGCCGCAGAGCCAGAAGAGCACGGAGCAGCAACUCGCAGCCCAAUUGGUGACGCUGCAGAAUGAACUGGAGCUGGCGGAGACCAAAUGCGCCUUGCAGGAGGAGAAGCUGCAGCAGGGCGCGCUGCAGACAGCGGAGGCCUGGGCCAUAUUCCAGGAGCAGACCGUAGUCCUGCAGGAGGUGCAGGUGAAGGUGAUGGAGGCGGCGGAGGAGCUGGACGCCUGGCAGAGUGGCCGGGAACUGUAAGGGAGUUGGGCCUGCGGGCGCGGCGGGGCACUGUGGGGCCGGGCCGGGCUCCCACCUGCAUGCCUGUCCCCGCAGGUGUGACGGGCAGCUUCGCGGAGUGCAGUACAGCACCCAGUCGCUCAUGGAGGAGAUGGCCAGGGCGGACCGAGAGAUGCGGCUGUUCGGCGGCCCUGGCGCGCUGGCCAUCAGGUGCUGCUGACGCUGCCGCUCCUCUUCCUGGGGCUGUCGCUACUCUGGACGGUGCUGUUGGACCCCGGCGCCGUCUCCGCGUGGCUCUGGAGCCUCACCUCGGAGACGACGCUGCGCCGCCUGCGCUACACGCUGUCCCCGCUGCUGGAGCUGCGCGCUAACGGGCUGCUGCCAACUUAAGUGCAGCGCCCCGUGCCUGGCUCCAGGUGGACCGCAGGGCACCUGGCUUUAUUUCUGGUGCACUCCUGAGAGUGUAGACCAAGGUCGCCUAAUAAACUCCUC